UACUCAGCAGUAAUUAACAUUAAGCAAUAAGUGAAAACUUGACUUAGUUAUAGCGACCUCACAGGGCCGGUAAAUCUUGUGCCAGCCACCGCGGUCAUACAAGAGGCCCAAACUAACAGUAAUCGGCGUAAAGCGUGGUAAUAUGUUAUCCAACUAAACUAAGACCAAAAUACAACUAAGCCGUCAUAAGCUCAAGAUGCCCCUAAAACCUUCAUAAAUAUGAUCUUAGCACCCACGACCAAUUUCAACCCACGAAAGCUAAGGCACAAACUGGGAUUAGAUACCCCACUAUGCUUGGCCCUAAAUCUAGAUACUUACCCUACACAAGUAUCCGCCUGAGAACUACGAGCACAAACGCUUAAAA
RNAcentral lists this ribosomal RNA (364 nucleotides) under Dinornis robustus. RNAcentral's name for it is "partial 12S ribosomal RNA". It matches the Rfam family "Bacterial small subunit ribosomal RNA", at positions 345 to 899 of the family's 1533-position model. Lineage: Eukaryota; Metazoa; Chordata; Aves; Dinornithiformes; Dinornithidae. The record is from RNAcentral.